This is an RNA transcript of Hippoglossus stenolepis (Pacific halibut), 1862 nucleotides long. It is a transcript of the gene named HERV-H LTR-associating protein 2, with no coding region annotated. The record is from RefSeq and is a predicted model, not a curated record. NCBI's taxonomy places the organism in Eukaryota, Metazoa, Chordata, Actinopteri, Pleuronectiformes, Pleuronectidae. The transcript is spliced from 6 exons.
GAGGAAGUGGGGGGAGCACUUUACAGAGUCACUUUCAGUUUCCAUCACACAAUGUUAACAAUGGGACUUAGAGUCUGAGUCUUCAGUCUGAACUCUGCAGAGAUCGUAGCUGCAGAGUCUGAACCUCCGCUGCUCUGACUCGGUGUCAUGAGUCAAACCAGCUGUUAACUCGUCUCUUCUUCCAUUGAUCCACAUCCAGUUCUCACAGAAUGACAGAAAGAUGUCUGCGUUCAAGUCUCUGGUUGUGUGGAUCCUCAACAUGUGGACUCUCACCACAGCAGAUGUUGAGGUCUCCUGCGUUUUAGCGGAGAGCUGCAUCUUACCCUGCAGUUUUCAGCCUGGUAAAGACCCAGUCAUUUACUGGAUGAAGGUGGAAGCAGGAAACACUCGUGUCCACUCCUACUACAGAGACAGAGACCAGUUUGAUCUGCAGAGCGAGCGCUUCAGAGGCCGGACAUCGCUGUUCACAGAGCAGAUCUCCAGAGGAAACGCCUCGAUCAGGCUGACGGGGCUGCAGCUUCAGGACCAGGGCAGAUACGAGUGCUACACCAGCACCAUCACUGGAGUCCACAAGGUGUCAGUUAUCAACCUGAGAGCAGAUGCUCCGGUGCGUCACGUGGACAUUGAGCAGGUGGAGAACAGCUUCACCUGCCGCUCAGAGGGGAUCUACCCCAAGCCGCAGCUCACCUGGUCCACCAGGCCUCCGUCCAACGUGACCCUUCAGAUCCAAACCUCAGUGAAGGAGACGGAGCAGCAGCUCUAUGAGAUCAGCAGCACACUGACACUGUCAGACAGAGACACUGUUCUGAUCUGCAGCUUCAGCACUCGCAGUGGCAGGAGGAGCGCGGUGUGGUAUCAACCCACUCCCGUCCAUGUGUUACUGUUUGAAACAACAACAACAAUCCACUGCACUGCUCCAAACACCAAACCCCCGACACACCUGGUGUGGAAGUUCAACCACAGGCAGAUCAUUGUGAACCAGACCGGGGUCGACGGCCCCCCCAGGGUCUCAGAGCAGUGGAGGCAGCAGGUGGAGGAUGUGUCAGCGUCAGGCAGCCUCACGCUGCACCACUUAUCUUCAGAUCACCAGGGAACGUUCACCUGUGAACUCAGUAGUGAAGAGGAGACGCAUUUCAUCAACAGCUACGUGACGAUAGAGGAAGGUUUUUCAGGUUCAGUUGCACUAAUUGUGGUCGGAGUACUCGCUGUGUGUGUAGCAUUAGGAGCUGGAGCAGGAUUCUUCUACUUUCAAAUACUAACGGUAAAUAUUAAUAUUUACAAUAAUUGUGCUAUUCAUUUAUUAUGUGUUGUUUCUUCUAAUGAUUAUUUCUUUUGAACAAACCCAAAACGGACCAUCCACAAUCAGAUGCUACAGAGAUAAAAGAUUAAAGUCCCACAUCGAAGAAAAGUAUAAGAACACGACAUCUGAAAAUAAAGAAAUGCUGCCUGAGUUAAAAAAAGACUCGAGCUGGAUGGAAGCAGAGACAACUGAACGUCUCUGCUGGGAAACCAAGGACUAAAGACUCUUCUGGAAUACGGGUUUGGGACGUAACCUUUACUGAAUUACAGCGCCCCCUGCAGUGUUGAUGAGGUUUCUAAGAUGCGACAGACGCAAAACUGAAAGAAAAAUACAAAUACGUCAGGAUGAAGAAGAGGAGCCAAACACAUAGAAGAUGAAGACGUCAACUUGGAAAGACGAGGAGAUUCCAGAGAUUAAAGCUGAAUUAUGUUUCUGCACUGGAAAGAAUGAACAGAUUUGUAUUUUAUAUUUGGUACUGUUUUGUAUUUGUUCAUAUUUUUGUGAAACUUUACUUCGACUGUUUUGGCACAUUUAAUGUUUUAUUAAAAUGUAUUUAUCUAAA